RNAcentral lists this ribosomal RNA (440 nucleotides) under uncultured bacterium. Its description in RNAcentral is "partial 16S ribosomal RNA". It matches the Rfam family "Bacterial small subunit ribosomal RNA", at positions 338 to 795 of the family's 1533-position model. The record is from RNAcentral.
CCUACGGGAGGCAGCAGUGGGGAAUAUUGGACAAUGGGGGGAACCCUGAUCCAGCGACGCCGCGUGAGUGAAGAAGUAUUUCGGUAUGUAAAGCUCUAUCAGCAGGGAAGAAAAUGACGGUACCUGACUAAGAAGCCCCGGCUAACUACGUGCCAGCAGCCGCGGUAAUACGUAGGGGGCAAGCGUUAUCCGGAUUUACUGGGUGUAAAGGGAGCGUAGACGGCAGCACAAGUCUGGAGUGAAAUGCCGGGGCUUAACCCCGGAACUGCUUUGGAAACUGUGCAGCUAGAGGGCAGGAGAGGUAAGGGGAAUUCCUGGUGUAGCGGUGAAAUGCGUAGAUAUUAGGAGGAACACCAGUGGCGAAGGCGGCUUACUGGACUGUAACUGACGUUGAGGCUCGAAAGCGUGGGGAGCAAACAGGAUUAGAUACCCGAGUAGUC